UACGUAGGGUGCGAGCGUUAAUCGGAAUUACUGGGCGUAAAGCGUGCGCAGGCGGCGCGUUAAGACAGGUGUGAAAGCCCCGAGCUUAACUUGGGAAUUGCGCUUGUGACUGGCGGGCUGGAGUGUGGCAGAGGGAGGUGGAAUUCCACGUGUAGCAGUGAAAUGCGUAGAGAUGUGGAGGAACACCGAUGGCGAAGGCAGCCUCCUGGGCCAGCACUAACGCUCAUGCACGAAAGCGUGGGGAGCAAACAGG
This 253-nucleotide ribosomal RNA is filed under the name uncultured bacterium. Its description in RNAcentral is "partial 16S ribosomal RNA". It matches the Rfam family "Bacterial small subunit ribosomal RNA", at positions 524 to 776 of the family's 1533-position model. The record is from RNAcentral.